Molecule: ribosomal RNA, 857 nt
Filed under: Streptococcus sp. 14B
Lineage: Bacteria; Bacillati; Bacillota; Bacilli; Lactobacillales; Streptococcaceae
Description: bacterial SSU rRNA
Rfam family: Bacterial small subunit ribosomal RNA
Source: RNAcentral
ACGCUGAAGACUUUAGCUUGCUAAAGUUGGAAGAGUUGCGAACGGGUGAGUAACGCGUAGGUAACCUGCCUACUAGCGGGGGAUAACUAUUGGAAACGAUAGCUAAUACCGCAUAACAGCAUUUAACACAUGUUAGAUGCUUGAAAGGAGCAAUUGCUUCACUAGUAGAUGGACCUGCGUUGUAUUAGCUAGUUGGUGAGGUAACGGCUCACCAAGGCGACGAUACAUAGCCGACCUGAGAGGGUGAUCGGCCACACUGGGACUGAGACACGGCCCAGACUCCUACGGGAGGCAGCAGUAGGGAAUCUUCGGCAAUGGGGGCAACCCUGACCGAGCAACGCCGCGUGAGUGAAGAAGGUUUUCGGAUCGUAAAGCUCUGUUGUAAGAGAAGAACGUGUGUGAGAGUGGAAAGUUCACACAGUGACGGUAACUUACCAGAAAGGGACGGCUAACUACGUGCCAGCAGCCGCGGUAAUACGUAGGUCCCGAGCGUUGUCCGGAUUUAUUGGGCGUAAAGCGAGCGCAGGCGGUUUAAUAAGUCUGAAGUUAAAGGCAGUGGCUUAACCAUUGUUCGCUUUGGAAACUGUUAGACUUGAGUGCAGAAGGGGAGAGUGGAAUUCCAUGUGUAGCGGUGAAAUGCGUAGAUAUAUGGAGGAACACCGGUGGCGAAAGCGGCUCUCUGGUCUGUAACUGACGCUGAGGCUCGAAAGCGUGGGGAGCAAACAGGAUUAGAUACCCUGGUAGUCCACGCCGUAAACGAUGAGUGCUAGGUGUUAGGCCCUUUCCGGGGCUUAGUGCCGCAGCUAACGCAUUAAGCACUCCGCCUGGGGAGUACGACCGCAAGGUUGAAACUCAAA